UAAGCAAGACAACAUAUUUAAAUUAUUGUCAAAUGGCUCAAAAGGUUCUCAAUAUCUUUAUUUUUGCAAAACAAUAAGUACAUUAGGUGACCAUUUUUAUUUUAUCAAUUUCUUUGAGUUUAUCAAAAUAUUUUAAUGAAGUUAAGUUGAACGUACUUGACCCAUACUUCUACUCCCUCCUCUGUCUUUAUAGAAUUUAAAUUUUGUCCUAAAAUAUUUAAUCUUCACAUUUCUCAAUACAUCUUUAUUUUUUUCUAAUACACCUUUCUAUUUUUUAAUACAUCUUUCUUUUUUUUUCAAUACGUCUCUAUUUCUAUAUUCUUGGGGUGCUUGUUGGUCUUUUGCCUUUUGUGUUGGUCUUUGCAAGAAUUUUUCUAAAAUGGCAUAUUAUAUGGGAUAGAGGGAGUGUGUAAUUUAUAAAAGAUAAUUACUUAUAAUUCACUUAUCUUUUUUGGGCUAAAAUUAUGCUUUGUUUAGUUCCCCAUCCAAAAAAAAUUUUCAUCCAUCACAUCGAUUCUCUAGACACAUGCAUGGAGCAUUAAAAUGUCGACAAAAAUAAAAACUAAUUGCACAGUUUAGUUGUAAAUCACGAGAUUAAUCUUUUAAGCAUAAUUAGCACAUGAUUAACCACAACUACUACAGUAACCCACAUAUGCUAAUAUCAGAUUAAUUAGGCUUAAUAAAUUCGUCUCACAGUUUCCAGGCGAGCUAUAUAAUUUGUUUUUUUAUUAGUCUAUGUUUAAUAUAUAUUUCAAAUAUGUACCGACAUAUUUGAUGUGACAUCUAAAAAAAUUUUCGUCGCGCAAGUAAACAAGGCCUUAGGAACCCAGACUAAUGGAUAUCCGAAUUCAUCAAUAUCUGAACUAGCUAUUCGGAUCCCAUUUCCGUGUGAACGUCUAGAUGCGGUCAUGCGGACCAAGUCAUCGCUGCCGCCCCUCGGUGCGCGGGGACUGCAACUGUGUGAGAGACUGAGGCCACCUACAACCGUGCUGGCCGUCAUCUUCGGAAGGU
RNAcentral lists this long non-coding RNA (1011 nucleotides) under Sorghum bicolor (sorghum). RNAcentral's name for it is "long non-coding RNA (SBIC_LNC004449)". The record is from RNAcentral. Lineage: Eukaryota; Viridiplantae; Streptophyta; Magnoliopsida; Poales; Poaceae.